Molecule: ribosomal RNA, 253 nt
Filed under: uncultured bacterium
Lineage: Bacteria
Description: partial 16S ribosomal RNA
Rfam family: Bacterial small subunit ribosomal RNA
Source: RNAcentral
UACGAAGGGGGCGAGCGUUGUUCGGAUUUACUGGGCGUAAAGGGCGCGUAGGCGGCGGGUCAAGUCGAGUGUGAAAGCCCCGGGCUCAACCUGGGAGGUGCGCUCGAGACUGGUCUGCUAGAGUUCGGGAGAGGAGCGUGGAAUUCCCAGUGUAGAGGUGAAAUUCGUAGAUAUUGGGAAGAACACCGGUGGCGAAGGCGGCGCUCUGGACCGAGACUGACGCUGAGACGCGAAAGCGUGGGGAGCGAACAGG